Misgurnus anguillicaudatus (oriental weatherfish) is the source of this 1836-nucleotide non-coding RNA. NCBI's taxonomy places the organism in Eukaryota, Metazoa, Chordata, Actinopteri, Cypriniformes, Cobitidae. The record is from RefSeq and is a predicted model, not a curated record.
UGAAAAAAAUGGACUUAGUGGGUCUUUGAAUUUAAAUAAAAUAAACAUGUAUAUGCAACACAAAAUAUUUAUAUUCCUUGUGUAAACAUAAUUUAAUUGAUUAGGAUUAAAAUGUUUUGUUUGAAUGUAAAAUGAACACAUUAUUCUCACAUUGAUUAAAAUUGAUUGAAUUGAAUACUUAAAGCAAUAAAAUUGGGUUUGCACACAAAACGGCACCUCCUGAGCAGCAGGGGCAGUAUAGCUCGAUGAGAAGGACGUCGAUUGCCAUAAAAGAAGAAUAAAGAUCGUUUGUUUUGGGCGCCAAAAUGAAGACUCAGCAGCAGCAGUCAGUCAGAAGAACUCUCUCAGACGGACACCACGUUAUUAAAGUCCAUCAUCCUUGCAUGCGCUACACACUCAAAAGCAUUGAUAAAUGCUGAAUUUAAAAGAAUCACUACUGUCUUAUGUUCCUGCGUGUCACCUGGACCUCCAAUCCAAAAACCUGAUGAAACUCUUCUAUCAGAAAGGAGGACAGCUAGCAAAAAGACUUCAAACAAUUAAUGAUCAAAUGACAGAAGGCGUGGAUGAAGUCAGCAUCAGUGAGGUCAUUUGAAGACACCAAUGUUGGGAUUUGUGCUCUCAAACAACAUGCUUCUUGUGAUGAAGAAGAGGAUCUUUGUAUAGUCCUGGAAGCCAUGAAGGUGUUGCAACAUCGUGUUUGAGCUGAUGUAUGCCUUAAACCUGAUCUCCGCUUUAUUUUUGAGGAAAUCCAAACUGCAUUGAGAGUAACUUUAACGAACAGUUUCUUUCAGUGAAAGGAUCAGAAAGACUGUGCUGCUCAUUUUUUAUUUUUUUAUCUGUUUUAAGUGUUUUCUCUUAUUAAUACAUUAACAGUUUGCUGCUCAGAGUCGAUUUUGGAAAUUUUUGUUUUUGUUGAAUCUUUGAUUAACAGUUUAUAAAUGCUGUAGCUCUGACUUUCUGAAGGAGUGAUAUUUUCCAGUUUGUAAAUCCAUUUUAUAAAUAAUAGUACUUACUGUUUUGCAUGUCUCUUUGGAAUGCAGUGUUUGUGUUUUAGCACUUCUAAAUCUACUGUGAUGGUAACUAUUUUAAACAUUUGGGUCAGUUUCACAGAUGGGGCUUUUCCUAGUCCCAGACUUUUGCAAUGCCAUAUAUCAGUGCCAUUGUUUUGUCUAAAGAUGUACUCCAGUGUUGUUUUUGUAAGGUAGGUUUGUUUGUAAACUUUAUUUUUGUAAAAAUAUCCUAAUAUAACUAGGGCCUAGUCAUGGAUUAAUCUACAACCUGUUUGGGAAAUUGCCCCUUUAUGUAUGUACUGCAUGUGCUGAUUGUUGUAAUAGUUAUUGACUGUUAUUGAAUUAAUGUGUAGUGAUUUAAAUGAAUUGAUGAUCUGAAAGCAGUGGUUUGCCUCAAUAUCACUAAACAUUUGUUCAAAACUCUUUGCUUUUUAUGCCAAUGCAAAUGUAUUUUGUAUUUAAAAAUAAAUAAAUAACAUUUGGAUAAUUAUGGGUGAUUAUUCUGGUGCCAGAGACAUAAUGAAAUUGCUUUAGAGUUACAUAAUCCCAUAAUAUAAGCAUUAAAAAAGCAUGUUGGAAUUACAGAUGAAAAUCUAGUCCCCUUACAUAAUAAAAUUACUUAAACAUUACAAAAUAAAUGUGUUAUAGUAAAGAGAAAUAGCACUUUGAGUCAACAUAUUUCUAUUAGACUACUUAAAAUAAUUAAAAUGUUUUGGUCUGACACAUAAAAAUUAAUUUGAGAAAAUUAUUUUGGUUUUAAACAAUCGGAUCAUGUGGGACCGAUGUACACAUUAAAAUUACGUAAAUUGAAAGGAUUUUUUUUUUC